This 372-nucleotide ribosomal RNA is filed under the name uncultured organism. RNAcentral's name for it is "bacterial SSU rRNA". It matches the Rfam family "Bacterial small subunit ribosomal RNA", at positions 526 to 896 of the family's 1533-position model. The record is from RNAcentral.
CGUAGGGAGCAAGCGUUGUUCGGAUUUACUGGGCGUAAAGGGCGCGUAGGCGGCGCGGUAAGUCACUUGUGAAAUCUCUGAGCUUAACUCAGAACGGCCAAGUGAUACUGCAGUGCUAGAGUGCAGAAGGGGCAAUCGGAAUUCUUGGUGUAGCGGUGAAAUGCGUAGAUAUCAAGAGGAACACCUGAGGUGAAGACGGGUUGCUGGGCUGACACUGACGCUGAGGCGCGAAAGCCAGGGGAGCAAACGGGAUUAGAUACCCCGGUAGUCCUGGCCCUAAACGAUGAAUACUUGGUGUCUGGAGAUUUAAUGCUCCGGGUGCCGUCGCUAACGUUUUAAGUAUUCCGCCUGGGGAGUACGCUCGCAAGAGUG